GAUGAACGCUGGCGGCGUGCUUAACACAUGCAAGUCGAACGGUGAACACGGAGCUUGCUCUGUGGGAUCAGUGGCGAACGGGUGAGUAACACGUGAGCAACCUGCCCCUGACUCUGGGAUAAGCGCUGGAAACGGCGUCUAAUACUGGAUAUGUGACGUGACCGCAUGGUCUGCGUUUGGAAAGAUUUUUCGGUUGGGGAUGGGCUCGCGGCCUAUCAGCUUGUUGGUGAGGUAAUGGCUCACCAAGGCGUCGACGGGUAGCCGGCCUGAGAGGGUGACCGGCCACACUGGGACUGAGACACGGCCCAGACUCCUACGGGAGGCAGCAGUGGGGAAUAUUGCACAAUGGGCGCAAGCCUGAUGCAGCAACGCCGCGUGAGGGAUGACGGCCUUCGGAUUGUAAACCUCUUUUAGCAGGGAAGAAGCGAAAGUGACGGUACCUGCAGAAAAAGCGCCGGCUAACUACGUG
This 469-nucleotide ribosomal RNA is filed under the name uncultured bacterium. RNAcentral's name for it is "partial 16S ribosomal RNA". It matches the Rfam family "Bacterial small subunit ribosomal RNA", at positions 28 to 507 of the family's 1533-position model. The record is from RNAcentral.